RNAcentral lists this ribosomal RNA (253 nucleotides) under uncultured bacterium. RNAcentral describes it as "partial 16S ribosomal RNA". It matches the Rfam family "Bacterial small subunit ribosomal RNA", at positions 524 to 776 of the family's 1533-position model. The record is from RNAcentral.
UACGUAGGGGGCAAGCGUUGUCCGGAAUCAUUGGGCGUAAAGAGCGUGUAGGCGGCUCGAUAAGUCUGCUGUGAAAGUCCAGGGCUCAACCCUGGAAGGCCGGUGGAAACUGUCGGGCUAGAGUCCGGAAGAGGCGAGUGGAAUUCCCGGUGUAGCGGUGAAAUGCGCAGAUAUCGGGAGGAACACCAGUGGCGAAGGCGGUUACCUGGAGCUUUGCUGACGCUGAUGCGCGAAAGCGUGGGGAGCGAUCCGG